CUUGUACACACCGCCCGUCACACCAUGGGACGCGGGUUCUGCCAGAAGUAGUUAGCCUAACCGCAAGGAGGGCGAUUACCACGGCAGGGUUCGUGACUGGGGUG
Molecule: ribosomal RNA, 104 nt
Filed under: uncultured bacterium
Lineage: Bacteria
Description: partial 16S ribosomal RNA
Rfam family: Bacterial small subunit ribosomal RNA
Source: RNAcentral